RNAcentral lists this ribosomal RNA (253 nucleotides) under uncultured bacterium. RNAcentral's name for it is "partial 16S ribosomal RNA". It matches the Rfam family "Bacterial small subunit ribosomal RNA", at positions 524 to 776 of the family's 1533-position model. The record is from RNAcentral.
UACGAAGGGUGCUAGCGUUGUUCGGAAUUACUGGGCGUAAAGGGCGCGUAGGCGGCUUUACAAGUCAGGGGUGAAAUCCCACGGCUCAACCGUGGAAUUGCCUUUGAAACUGUAAAGCUAGAGUGUCGGAGGGGAUAGCGGAAUUGCUAAUGUAGAGGUGAAAUUCGUAGAUAUUAGCAGGAACACCGGUGGCGAAGGCGGCUAUCUGGACGACAACUGACGCUGAGGCGCGAAAGCAUGGGGAUCAAACGGG